RNAcentral lists this ribosomal RNA (485 nucleotides) under uncultured bacterium. RNAcentral describes it as "partial 16S ribosomal RNA". It matches the Rfam family "Bacterial small subunit ribosomal RNA", at positions 30 to 506 of the family's 1533-position model. The record is from RNAcentral.
AUUGAACGCUGGCGGCAUGCCUUACACAUGCAAGUCGAACGGCAGCACGUGUGCUUGCACCUGGUGGCGAGUAGCGAACGGGUGAGUAAUACAUCGGAACAUGUCCUGUAGUGGGGGAUAGCCCGGCGAAAGCCGGAUUAAUACCGCAUACGAUCUCCGGAUGAAAUCGGGGGACCUUCGGGCCUCGCGCUCUAGGGUCGGCCGAUGGCUGAUUAGCUAGUUGGUGGGGUAACGGCCUACCAAGGCGACGAUCAGUAGCUGGUCUGAGAGGACGACCAGCCACACUGGGACUGAGACACGGCCCAGACUCCUACGGGAGGCAGCAGUGGGGAAUUUUGGACAAUGGGCGAAAGCCUGAUCCAGCAAUGCCGCGUGUGUGAAGAAGGCCUUCGGGUUGUAAAGCACUUUUGUCCGGAAAGAAAUCCUUGGCCCUAAUACGGUCGGGGGAUGACGGUACCGGAAGAAUAAGCACCGGCUAACUACGU